This 252-nucleotide ribosomal RNA is filed under the name uncultured bacterium. Its description in RNAcentral is "partial 16S ribosomal RNA". It matches the Rfam family "Bacterial small subunit ribosomal RNA", at positions 524 to 776 of the family's 1533-position model. The record is from RNAcentral.
UACGGAGGAUGCGAGCGUUAUCCGGAUUUAUUGGGUUUAAAGGGUGCGUAGGCGGACUGUCAAGUCAGCGGUAAAAUUGAGAGGCUCAACCUCUUCCCGCCGUUGAAACUGGGAGCCUUGAGUGCGCGAGAAGUAGGCGGAAUGCGUGGUGUAGCGGUGAAAUGCAUAGAUAUCACGCAGAACUCCGAUUGCGAAGGCAGCCUACCGGCAUCCAACUGACGCUGAGGCACGAAAGCGUGGGGAUCAAACAGG